AACCUGGUUGAUCCUGCCAGUAGUCAUAUGCUUGUCUCAAAGAUUAAGCCAUGCAUGUCUAAGUAUAAACGCCUUAUACUGUGAAACUGCGAAUGGCUCAUUAAAUCAGUUAUAGUUUAUUUGAUAGUACCUUUACUACAUGGAUAACCGUGGUAAUUCUAGAGCUAAUACAUGCGAAAAAUCCCGACUCUUCAUGGAAGGGAUGUAUUUAUUAGAUAAAAAACCAAUAGAGGGCUAAACCCCCUCUUUUUUUUUUUUGGUGAUUCAUAAUAACUCUCUUUGUUUCGAAUCGUAUGACUUUUAUGUCGACGAUGGUUCAUUCAAAUUUCUGCCCUAUCAACUUUCGAUGGUAAUGUAGUGGAUUACCAUGGUUGUAACGGGUAACGGAGAAUUAGGGUUCGGUUCCGGAGAGGGAGCAUGAGAAACGGCUACCACAUCUAAGGAAGGCAGCAGGCGCGCAAAUUACCCAAUCCCGACACGGGGAGGUAGUGACAAGAAAUAACAAUGCAGGGCUCGAAAGAGUCUUGCAAUUGGAAUGAGUACAAUUUAAACCCCUUAACGAGGAACAAUUGGAGGGCAAGUCUGGUGCCAGCAGCCGCGGUAAUUCCAGCUCCAAUAGCGUAUAUUAAUGUUGUCGCAGUUAAAAAGCUCGUAGUUGGAUUUUGGGCUUGUUCAGUUGGUCACAUCGCAAGGUGUGCUGUGGGGUUGGGGUAUGGGAAUUGAGGGAAGGAGGGGUUAAUAGCCUCUCUUUUUCUCUUUUCUUCCUUUCCUCCUCUGACUGGGCUUGUCUUAUUAUUGGGAAGUCUGGGGGAGUUGGGGGGGUUCGCCUUCUCUUCUCUUCCUUCUUCUUAUUCUUUUCUUAAAGACCUUAUGUGCUCUUUACCGGGUGCGUAAGGGAUUUAGGACUUUUACUUUGAAAAGAUUAGAGUGUUCAAAGCAGGCUUCUUGUUUCUGUCAGUUCUCCCUCUCGGGGGGGGAUUGAUGGGGGUAUCUUCGCUUGAAUACAUUAGCAUGGAAUAAUGAAAUAGGACUUUGGUUCUAUUUUGUUGGUUUCUAGGACCGAAGUAAUGAUUAAUAGGGAUAGUUGGGGUGGUUAGUAUUUAAUUGUCAGAGGUGAAAUUCUUGGAUUUAUGAAAGACUAACUUCUGCGAAAGCAUUCCACAUGGAUGUUUUCUUUAAUCAAGAACGAAAGUUAGGGGAUCGAAGAUGAUCAGAUACCGUCGUAGUCUUAACCUUAAACUAUGCCGACUAGGGAUCGGGGGAUGUUAUUCUUUAUGACUCCCUUGGCACCUUACUGAGAAAUCAUCAAGUCUUUGGGUUCCGGGGGGAGUAUGGUCGCAAGGCUGAAACUUAAAGGAAUUGACGGAAGGGCACCACCAGGAGUGGAGCCUGCGGCUUAAUUUGACUCAACACGGGGAAACUCACCAGGUCCAGACAUGGGUAGGAUUGACAGAUUGAGAGCUCUUUCUUGAUUCUAUGGGUGGUGGUGCAUGGCCGUUCUUAGUUGGUGGAGUGAUUUGUCUGGUUAAUUCCGAUAACGAACGAGACCUUAACCUGCUAAAUAGUUACGCAAACUCAACCGUUUUCCUUCUUUUCUCUUCUUUCGGGGGGAGGGGAGAGGGGAUUCUUGGUGGUUUAGUGGUCAACUUCUUAGAGGGACUGUCGGUGUUUAACCGACGGAAGUUUGAGGCAAUAACAGGUCUGUGAUGCCCUUAGAUGCUCUGGGCCGCACGCGCGCUACACUGAUGAAGUCAACGAGUUUAUAACCUUGUUCGGAAGGACCAAGGGGUCAACUUAUUAUUCUCUCGGAUGGUUAGGAGGGUUCGCUCUUCUUUCUAUUUGGUUGGGUAGUAAGCCCUCUUCUCGGGGUAAUCUUUUGAAACUUCAUCGUGCUGGGGAUAGAUCAUUGCAAUUAUUGAUCUUCAACGAGGAAUUCCUAGUAAGCGCGAGUCAUCAGCUCGCGUUGAUUACGUCCCUGCCCUUUGUACACACCGCCCGUCGCUACUACCGAUUGAAUGGUUUAGUGGGAUCUUUGGACCGACGCAACACAGCUGUCUGACAGCAGUGAUGUGUUGGGAAGCUGAUCAAACUUGAUCAUUUAGAGGAAGUAAAAGUCGUAACAAGGUUUCCGUAGGUGAACCUGCAGAAGGAUCA
This 2154-nucleotide ribosomal RNA is filed under the name Nuclearia moebiusi. RNAcentral describes it as "SSU rRNA". It matches the Rfam family "Eukaryotic small subunit ribosomal RNA". The record is from RNAcentral. Lineage: Eukaryota; Rotosphaerida; Nucleariidae.